AGCAGUUCUCAGGUGAUGCACACCGGAAUUGGGCUCCCUCCUCUUUGGUUCCAGGUGCAUCACCUGAAAACUGCA
Molecule: non-coding RNA, 75 nt
Organism: Myotis davidii
Lineage: Eukaryota; Metazoa; Chordata; Mammalia; Chiroptera; Vespertilionidae
Source: Rfam